This 66-nucleotide transfer RNA is filed under the name Marisa cornuarietis. RNAcentral describes it as "tRNA-Glu". The record is from RNAcentral. Lineage: Eukaryota; Metazoa; Mollusca; Gastropoda; Architaenioglossa; Ampullariidae.
UGUUUUUGAAGUGUCCUCAGCACCUUGGAUUUUCAUACCAAAAGAGCAUUUAUAUGCCAAAAAUAA